Long non-coding RNA from Stegodyphus dumicola, 551 nucleotides. Lineage: Eukaryota; Metazoa; Arthropoda; Arachnida; Araneae; Eresidae. The record is from RefSeq and is a predicted model, not a curated record.
CUCCGAAGAAGAUGCUCGAGAGAAAAGGAAGAAUGGUCGACCGAUCCGCUCACCGCUGAUGGACAUUGAUGAGAGCAGAGAUAAGAGAAGAUUAUCGAACUAGAGUGCAGACCAGCAAGAUGAAGGAAGAGGACAACCGGUGACAGAAACUUCAACAGCCAACAAUGAUCACGUUAUGGAAUCUUUUGCUGCUGUUGCUGGUUCAGGCAUGUUCGGCCCGUACCGACGAUCCCCCCCGUAUCUUCAACAUAGGCGCCGUCCUAGGCGGUGACAGGAUCGCCAACUUCUUGCAAGCCAUUGAGGAUGUGAACGGGGAGAUGAACAUGCCAACGAAAGUCAGCCUGCAUGGAGUACCACUGCCGAUGAAUAGGAAUCCCAUCAGGACCGCGCAGAACGUGUGCGAACACCUCAUAUCAUCUCAGGUCUAUGCGGUGAUCAUCAGCCAUCCGACAGCCGGUGAACUAUCUCCCGCCGCCGUUUCGUACACCUGCGGGUUUUACAAUAUCCCAGUCAUCGGCAUCAGCUCCAGGGACUCUUCACUCUCGGACAAG